GACGAACGCUGGCGGCGUGCUUAACACAUGCAAGUCGAACGGAUAGGCCCUGCUUUUGUGGGGUGCUCGAGUGGCGAACGGGUGAGUAACACGUGAGUAACCUGCCCUUGACUUUGGGAUAACUUCAGGAAACUGGGGCUAAUACCGGAUAGGAGCUCCUGCUGCAUGGUGGGGGUUGGAAAGUUUCGGCGGUUGGGGAUGGACUCGCGGCUUAUCAGCUUGUUGGUGGGGUAGUGGCUUACCAAGGCUUUGACGGGUAGCCGGCCUGAGAGGGUGACCGGCCACAUUGGGACUGAGAGACGGCCCAGACUCCUACGGGAGGCAGCAGUGGGGAAUAUUGCACAAUGGGCGGAAGCCUGAUGCAGCAACGCCGCGUGCGGGAUGACGGCCUUCGGGUUGUAAACCGCUUUCGCCUGUGACGAAGCGUGAGUGACGGUAAUGGGUAAAGAAGCACCGGCUAACUACGUG
This 468-nucleotide ribosomal RNA is filed under the name uncultured bacterium. Its description in RNAcentral is "partial 16S ribosomal RNA". It matches the Rfam family "Bacterial small subunit ribosomal RNA", at positions 28 to 507 of the family's 1533-position model. The record is from RNAcentral.